CCGUGCCGUGGUCAGUCACGUUUCACUGUGCGCACUGGAAAGUCGUGUUUGUCGCGUGUGUUUUCUUCUAAAAACAAAAAUUCACCGUUCUUUCGUCGUUCGUUCGUUCGUGUGUAAAUCCUUGAUUGUUUGUUUCUGCCGGCGGUGCAUCAUCGAUCGUCGUCCUUUUUUUUUUUGGUGUUGCUGCAAGGAAGAAGACACACUUAUACAAACGUAACGUUUGAAAACAGAUAAAAAGAAGGUGGAUUAGGAAUACAAAAGCCGUGGUGCCGCCGCGUGUGUAAACGUGUAUUUGUGUUGUUUUUUGAGCUACCGGAGAUUUUUUGUGAAGGUUAUCAACACGCGCGGUCGGCCGCUCAAUCUCCCUCUCUCUCGCGCCAGCAUCCCAAAACGUCAACAAACUUGCCCCGACCGUCAUCAUCGUCAUUGAAGGGGUGGUGAGAGUGUAUUGGUAGAGCGCGGUUUUGUUGUCGGAAGCUGUGUGUGCGACGACGAAGAAGCUGAAGAGCCCAUCCAAGUAGCCCGAAAACAAGUUUUUUUCUGCAAGUGCGUCGGUAGUGUUGGUGCAAGUGCAUUUUUAUCUCGUUCAUAAAAGGAAGCAAAACGGGUGCAAAAUAGGAGUGCGAGUGUGUGCGUGUGAGCAAUUGAAAAAGGGUAAUUUUUACGCUAAAAUCACUGCCUUGACCGCGUAAACAAAGGAGCUUGAGAUUGAGAGAAAGAACGGGAGAAAACGAGAGAGAGAGAGUGAAGAAGUUGUAAAGAAGAAGAUUGUCGUCAAAACAAAAAGCAAGUGGACACUGCGCGGCGACGACGCGAACGAGGAAGGGAGAAAGGAGUGAAAAGAAGAGAAGCAGGAGAGUAACCGGAAGAACGUGACACCGAAACCUGAAAGGAAUAGUUAUUUCAAUGGUUUAGUGACGGAAAACAAGAGAGAGUUAAAUAAGCAACAGUUACAUUGCUCGGAAACCGGACGAAAUUGCUUGGUGUCAGUGCAAAACAGAAAAAAUCAUCAAGGUGGCGCGAGCCAAAUCUGAUAAGCAAC
This is a long non-coding RNA of Culex quinquefasciatus (southern house mosquito), 1042 nucleotides long. RefSeq lists it as uncharacterized. Lineage: Eukaryota; Metazoa; Arthropoda; Insecta; Diptera; Culicidae. The transcript is spliced from 3 exons. The record is from RefSeq and is a predicted model, not a curated record.